This 100-nucleotide non-coding RNA is filed under the name Phascolarctos cinereus (koala). The record is from RNAcentral. Lineage: Eukaryota; Metazoa; Chordata; Mammalia; Diprotodontia; Phascolarctidae.
ACUAGCCUUGACAAGAAUGGAAGGGGCCCUUGUGGCUUCUUCACAACCCACAUCUGGGGAAGGCACGGCCACCUACUCUGGCAUUUAACCACAUUUUUUC